CGCCCAGCCUUGUGGGAGGGGCUGCAGAUGGCGGGCACAUGCCCGGUGGGGCACGGGCUCCAGGGUGGGUGCUGCGCGGUGCCCCGCGUCCUCUGGUUUUCUGACUUCUUUCUCCUCUCUUCUUCACUCCUGUCUCUCUUCUCCCCACCCCUGGGCUCUCCCACCUUCCCCUGGGGCUGACGAGGUCCCUGCCCGGCACGUCCGGCCAGCCGGCCCCCGAGAUGCGAUGUGCCAGAGCAGUGCCCGGGCCCGGCCGCCGCUGAUCCGCCACCUUGACCCCCGCCCGUCUCUCCCCCAGGGUGAACCAGCUGGUGAUGCCGCCUGCAUCCGUCAAAGUCUGAGGCCGCUCCCCUUUCCUUCCUCAGAUGGGACUGGCAGGACCCCUACUCCAUCCCGGACUCUGUCCUCCUGGGCCCUCCAAGAAGCACGCACCAGGGCCCGACUCUGAAGUUGACCUUCCUCUGGGCCUGGCCUUCAGAGGCUGCACUUCCCAGCAGUGCAGGAUCCGAGGUCACCACCCCCUCAUCCCCUUGAUGCCCCCAGAGCCCAGAGAAAGGUGCCUCUGGGACCGCGAAGAGCCCUCAUUGUCAGCCUACUUGGGAGGCGUCCCACGGCAUCCCGGCCCUGCUGGACAGUCUCGAAGCUUUCUGUGUGACCCAAGGCUGGGCACCCACCCUCUCUGGUCUGGGGCUGUGGAGUGGCCAUGGCUCCAAGAGGCUGUGUCCUCAACUAGCGUGGAAGGCUGUGUCUGGGGGAGCUGUGCAGCUGGACAGACUCCCAGCCCCAGGGCCAGGCUGCAGACCCCCUGGGGCCCGGGACAAGGACAGCCCCCACCGGGUAUGUGGGGAGAGCAUGGCCUGUCCCCACCUUACGGGGUCCCAGGCAAGCCUCUGCCCUCCCCAGAGCGUGGGGCCAGGCGGCUGGACUUCCCCACAUGGCAGCUCUGAAAACCCGGCGACUCCUGGACUACAGGGAGGAGGUGGUCCAGGCCUCAGGGCAGUACUUUAGGCUCUGGGAUGUGGGGACGACAACGACCUUGGGGAUGAUGGACUCAACUGGGCAGAGCCAGGGGCCCGUGACUGGGCGGCGCUUCCCAGCCUGGCUGGUUCCCCCAGAGGACGCUAGUCUCUGCUGCCUGGCCGGCUCUCUGCCUGCAGGUCCCCCCUCACCCCAGUGGGGCUAUCCGCUGGGGAGCUGGCAUCUCCAGGGGUGAAGGCCCUGGCGGCAGCUGCACCCCACCUGUGCCCCCAGACCUGAGCUCCAGGGCCAGCCUGCCUCCACGCCCCCCCACCCCAGCAGCCUGGAACAGACUCCUGCCCCCAGGCUGGGCCCUUUCCAGAGGCAGGGCCCCGGGGAC
This 1357-nucleotide long non-coding RNA is filed under the name Ursus maritimus (polar bear). RNAcentral's name for it is "lncRNA (ENSUMAG00000012966.1)". The record is from RNAcentral. Lineage: Eukaryota; Metazoa; Chordata; Mammalia; Carnivora; Ursidae.